This 404-nucleotide unclassified non-coding RNA is filed under the name soil metagenome. RNAcentral describes it as "partial contains 5.8S ribosomal RNA, internal transcribed spacer 2, and large subunit ribosomal RNA". The stretch from base 1 to 122 matches the Rfam family "5.8S ribosomal RNA", at positions 35 to 154 of the family's 154-position model. The record is from RNAcentral.
GAUGAAGAACGUAGUAAAAUGCGAUACUUGGUGUGAAUUGCAGAAUCCCGUGAACCAUCGAGUUUUUGAACGCAAGUUGCGCCCGAAGCCUUUUGGCCGAGGGCACGUCUGCCUGGGCGUCACGCAUCGCGUCGCCCCCCACAAUUCUCCGUAAAGGGAACAUGUGUUUUGGGGGCGGAUAUUGGUCUCCCGUGCUCAUGGCGUGGUUGGCCGAAAUAGGAGUCCUUUCGAUGGACGCACGAACUAGUGGUGGUCGUAAAAACCCUCGUCUUUUGUCUCGUGCUGUUGCUCGCAAGGUAAACUCUUUAAAAACCCCAAUGUGUCGUCUCUUGACGACGCUUCGACCGCGACCCCAGGUCAGGCGGGACUACCCGCUGAGUUUAAGCAUAUCAAUAAGCGGAGGA